UAACUGUUUUAGUAAAAACGAUCAAAGUAACUUCGACUUUUCACUGUUCAACAGAGUCAACAAGAAACAUAUUGACAGUAUUCGAAUAAGCUAAAUUGAGUGAAGAUGCCGCCACCAAUAUCAUCGAACAUUUCUACUUUACGCAAAUCGGUUUGGUGCGGGAAUUCAUUUACAACGGCGCAAAUUAAAAGAAGAGUUGGUGAAGGAAUAAUCAGCCUACAGAGUGGACCUCUGCACUAACCACCGAUUCAGAUGAUAGGCCGUCCAAUCGAAUUUGCCUCUCAUUUUGCAGUUCACGAUUAUUGAUGAGUGCAGGCGAAAAAUUCCUAACAGUAAAGGGAUUGGCAACAUCCGCGACGGAGAACCGGAAUUACAACUGGGUAUUCCAGGGGCUAAUGAAACUGAUGCCGUAGACACUUCUUAAAAGUCUGAAGUCCGAAGUUGUGGUCUUGAGGUCUCAACUAUGCCAAUCUUCGAUGCGCAGUCUUCAAAGUCAUGGGUUUCGAAUAAGACUCUCAUCCUGCUGUGCACAUUUGGGAAGGAUUGGCUAUCGUUGAUCGACUAAAAAAGCACCACUUCGUCUUGGGAGCGUACAUAACGAUUAAAUAAUCAAUUAAAAUAAUGAAACUAUUCU
Armigeres subalbatus is the source of this 634-nucleotide long non-coding RNA. RefSeq lists it as uncharacterized. The transcript has 3 exons. The record is from RefSeq and is a predicted model, not a curated record. NCBI's taxonomy places the organism in Eukaryota, Metazoa, Arthropoda, Insecta, Diptera, Culicidae.